This 806-nucleotide ribosomal RNA is filed under the name uncultured bacterium. Its description in RNAcentral is "bacterial SSU rRNA". It matches the Rfam family "Bacterial small subunit ribosomal RNA", at positions 28 to 810 of the family's 1533-position model. The record is from RNAcentral.
GACGAACUCUUGCGGCGUGCCUAACACAUGCAAGUCGAACGGAGAAUUUUAUUUCGGUAGAAUUCUUAGUGGCGAACGGGUGAGUAACGCGUAGGCAACCUGCCCUUUAGACGGGGACAACAUUCUGAAAGGAGUGCUAAUACCGGAUGUGAUCAUCGUGCCGCAUGGCAGGAUGAAGAAAGAUGGCCUCUACAAGUAAGCUAUCGCUAAAGGAUGGGCCUGCGUCUGAUUAGCUAGUUGGUAGUGUAACGGACUACCAAGGCGAUGAUCAGUAGCCGGUCUGAGAGGAUGAACGGCCACAUUGGGACUGAGACACGGCCCAAACUCCUACGGGAGGCAGCAGUGGGGAAUCUUCCGCAAUGGACGAAAGUCUGACGGAGCAACGCCGCGUGAGUGAUGAAGGAUUUCGGUCUGUAAAGCUCUGUUGUUUAUGACGAACGUGCAGUGUGUGAACAAUGCAUUGCAAUGACGGUAGUAAACGAGGAAGCCACGGCUAACUACGUGCCAGCAGCCGCGGUAAUACGUAGGUGGCGAGCGUUGUCCGGAAUUAUUGGGCGUAAAGAGCAUGUAGGCGGCUUAAUAAGUCGAGCGUGAAAAUGCGGGGCUCAACCCCGUAUGGCGCUGGAAACUGUUAGGCUUGAGUGCAGGAGAGGAAAGGGGAAUUCCCAGUGUAGCGGUGAAAUGCGUAGAUAUUGGGAGGAACACCAGUGGCGAAGGCGCCUUUCUGGACUGUGUCUGACGCUGAGAUGCGAAAGCCAGGGUAGCGAACGAGAUUAGAUACCCCGGUAGUCCUGGCCGUAAACGAU